CAGCCGCCGCGGUAAUACGUAGGGUGCGAGCGUUAAUCGGAUUUACUGGGCGUAAAGCGUGCGCAGGCGGCCCGUUAAGACAGGUGUGAAAUCCCUGGGCUCAACCUAGGAAUUGCGCUUGUGACUGGCGGGCUCGAGUACGGUAGAGGGGGGUGGAAUUCCUGGUGUAGCAGUGAAAUGCGUAGAGAUCAGGAGGAACACCGAUGGCGAAGGCAGCCCCCUGGGCCUGUACUGACGCGCAUGCACGAAAGCGUGGGGAGCAAACAGGAUUAGAUACCCUGGUAGUCCACGCCCGAAACGAUGGGUACUAGCCGUUUGGUGCGCGAUAGCGCUGAGUGGCGAAGCUAACGCGUGAAGUACCCCGCCUGGGGAGUACGGCCGCAAGGUUGAAACUUAAAGGAAUUGGCGGG
Molecule: ribosomal RNA, 410 nt
Filed under: uncultured microorganism
Description: bacterial SSU rRNA
Rfam family: Bacterial small subunit ribosomal RNA
Source: RNAcentral